UAAGUUCAUAAUGAAAAAGAGAAAUUCUUUUUUAUGUGUAUGUGUUUUUUUAAUCCUCAAACAUUGAAAUACAUUAGGUUCAGCAGAGACUAACUGUGAAUAACAAAAACGAACCCCUAAUUUCACAAAGCACGUCAGAUCUCCAGGGGUGCUCCUCUUUCCAGAUACACAGGAAAUCCUAGUAGGCCAACUCUUCCACUAUCAAAUGACUGACUCAAAAGCUUCUUGACAGAUGGAAUUCCAGCCAACUGCAGAAUUGAAAUCACUAGACACAGGCUGACCUGAGGCCCCACUAUUCUACAUACCAGGCUGACUCUGAGAGCCAUGAGACCAACUGAACUGCAGGAGCUUCAGCGUCUGUGCUGCCCUGUAUAGUCCCGGUCCUCACCAACCGCUGGAGAAGCAAGGAGUGUUCCUGGGCAGUGGAAUGUGGCGCUGGGGAUGCGCUCCCUGUCUCCUGCUCUUCCUGAUGAGCACCUUGCACAGUGUGGAAUGUGAAAGAUCCUCUACAAAUGCUUGUUGAUGAUGGAGAGAAGUAGCCUGGAAUAGAGGUGGAGCAGUGUCGUACCCUGCUUCACUGGCGCCCCCAGAGCCUUGGUCGCCUCCGUCCUGCUCCACUAGCUUCUCAUGUUAGGAAAAGCUCUUAUGAGGACUGAUGGCCAAGAUUUCUUGUUCUCUUCCUCUUUGUCCUUUCUUCCUUGCUGUAGAUUCUGAGUAGAUCAGUUAAGAUCUUCAGAUCUAUAGAGUUGGCAGACAGAAUCUCAAAUUUCAAAGGACAUCUAUGACAUCGAUAAUCCCUUCUAGUUCCAAGCAGGCUAGGAUCUAAGCUGUUUCAGCAAAGCUCUUGUUCUCAAAAUCCCCAGGCAAUCUUGAACAUCUUGCAGAGAUAUGAAGUUAUUUCUCAUGUCUAAGCUAAAUCUCUUUGGCUGCAACUCAAGUCUGUUCCCUUUAUCACAGCCCUAAGUAGAUAUAGGGACUAGGGCUUUCUUUGCUGAAAACCAUGUCCACACCAUAUAACUGAUUUUUUAAAACGUAUUUACCAGCCUAUCUUCUUUACAAAUUAAGGACGUGGUGUUGUGUUUUAUAUCUGGUCUCAGUUUUAAAGUAAAUGGUUAUCUGUAGUACUGACUAUAAUAAGGCAAGUCCUUUAAAUUUUCAAACACUGGGGAAGUACAGAGAAAUUUUGUCACAUUUGCUUUAAAUAUUUUAAAUAUUAAGAUAUUAUGGGUAUAGUUGAUGCUGCCUUUGUACCAUUGUCUCUUCUCUCUCUAGAAGGGUAAGGACUAUCUUGAAACAAAGUGCAUAUUCUUCCUGCCCAGUUUAAAAAUCAUAUAUGUGUAUAUAUCAUGUGCAUAUAUCAUAUGCACAUAUCAUACAUAUGUGUGUAUAUAUAGGGAUAUAUAGCAGUCAUUUCCUCAUUACUUAUCUUCCAAUUUAUCACUUCUCUAUUGACUGUGUCCAGCAUAGAAUUUAUUCUACUUAAUGCAUUUAU
Aethalodelphis obliquidens (Pacific white-sided dolphin) is the source of this 1492-nucleotide long non-coding RNA. RefSeq lists it as uncharacterized. The record is from RefSeq and is a predicted model, not a curated record. The transcript has 3 exons. NCBI's taxonomy places the organism in Eukaryota, Metazoa, Chordata, Mammalia, Artiodactyla, Delphinidae.